GGGACAUGGAAGGCCAUUUGCUCACGCAAGUGUUUUCUUGUCAAUUCUAAAUAGUUACAGAGAUUUGAUUCUAUCUAGAGAUUUUUUGGUCGAAUCCAAGGCAUCACAAUGUAAGGUUAAAACUCAAAAGGUGAGAGAGGCGGCAUGAAGGCCAACAAACCUUCUAUCUCGAAAGCAAAUUUAAUGUGAAAGAGGGAAGAGAUUGCAUCUUGCCAUGAUUCAAGAUUGAAAGCAAUCAAACUACCAAAAGUGUAAAGCUUUUAUUAGAUUAAGGAGG
Molecule: long non-coding RNA, 277 nt
Filed under: Elaeis guineensis (African oil palm)
Lineage: Eukaryota; Viridiplantae; Streptophyta; Magnoliopsida; Arecales; Arecaceae
Description: long non-coding RNA (EGUI_LNC030474)
Source: RNAcentral